This 64-nucleotide transfer RNA is filed under the name Agrilus biguttatus. RNAcentral's name for it is "tRNA-His". The record is from RNAcentral. Lineage: Eukaryota; Metazoa; Arthropoda; Insecta; Coleoptera; Buprestidae.
AUUUGAAUAGUUUAAAUUAAAAUUUUGAUUUGUGGUGUCAAAGAUGCUUUUUUAGUUUCAAAUA